This 292-nucleotide ribosomal RNA is filed under the name uncultured bacterium. RNAcentral's name for it is "partial 16S ribosomal RNA". It matches the Rfam family "Bacterial small subunit ribosomal RNA", at positions 505 to 796 of the family's 1533-position model. The record is from RNAcentral.
GUGCCAGCAGCCGCGGUAAAACGUAGGGGACGAGCGUUAUCCGGAUUUACUGGGCGUAAAGCGCAUGUAGGUGGCGCGGAAAGUUGGACGUGAAAGCUCCCGGCUUAACUGGGAGAGGUCGUACAAAACUACCGAGCUUGAGGUUGGAAGAGGAGAGCGGAAUUCCCGGUGUAGUGGUGGAAUGCGUAGAUAUCGGGAGGAACACCAGUGGCGAAAGCGGCUCUCUGGUUCAAUACUGACACUGAGAUGCGAAAGCGUGGGGAGCGAACGGGAUUAGAUACCCUUGUAGUCC